Molecule: small RNA, 125 nt
Filed under: Marmota monax (woodchuck)
Lineage: Eukaryota; Metazoa; Chordata; Mammalia; Rodentia; Sciuridae
Source: RNAcentral
GCCGGGAGUAGUGGCGCACGCCUGUAAUCCCAGCGGCUUGGAAGGCUGAAGCAGGAGGAUCACGAGUUCAAAGCCAGCCUCAGCAACAGCGAGGUGCUAAGCAACUCAGUGAGACUCUGUCUCUA